RNAcentral lists this long non-coding RNA (1175 nucleotides) under Homo sapiens (human). RNAcentral's name for it is "HSALNT0330161". Lineage: Eukaryota; Metazoa; Chordata; Mammalia; Primates; Hominidae. The record is from RNAcentral.
GCCACACAUCCUCAGUCCUGGAUGCAGUGUAGUAGACGUUUAAUACCCUUCAUGGGAACUCUGCCUCCUGGAGCAGGUGACCCAAGCAAAAUUUCAGGACUUUGGGGGAUAAGGGGCAGCUGUAGAGGGUAGAAUGGAGGUGGGUGAUUGGCAGUGGGGGACCCGGGAGGUUGAUAAGGAAUUCUUUGUUCUGACCCACCUAUGAAGGCAUAAUAGAGGGAGGCAGGAGGCAGAUCUUGGGCUCCCCCUAGAGGCGUCUGUGCACUCAUUCACCAAACACGGCGCCCCUAUCCGCUCUGGACACUGCCAGGUGCUGGAGGUGCAGUGCUGAGCAAGGGAUGAGGCCCCUGUCCCACGGAGUGCAAGCUUCUCGCUAGAGGAGGCAAACAUGAAACACACUUAGACUCAGACCAAAGGAAGUUCCAGGGUGCUGUGUAGAGCCAGCUCUCCAAAGGACCUGAGCUCCCUGCUGCUGCCUUUAAACUGGGAGCCUGGGAAGAGCCAGCUGGGACUCGGAGCUACGCCAGUGGUCAGCCCAGCCACCAAGGCCAAGCUUCUAAGUCACAGAAUGAAAAGGCUUGGAAGCUGUGGGCCCUUCAUGUGGGGCUGAAGUCUUAAGACCUGGAGAGCAGCCCCAAGGGUGGAGAAGCGGCUGCUGAAGGGAUCAGCAUGCGCUGGCACAGGAAGUCUGUUUUCCAUGUGUCUGGAACCCAGCCGAAGCUUCCUGGGGUAAUUUUAACCAGUAUCCACUCUAGAACAAUACCAAAAAAGCAAGACUGUGUUGGGCUGGAGGAAAGGCAGUAAUCAACUCCAUGUUCCACGUGAGGAAACUGAAGAUCAUGGAAGGCAAGUCGAGAGCCCCAAGGUUAUCCAGCUUCAAGGUCACCAGUCACCCAGCUUCCUUCUUUCGUGCAGCCAGAUGCCCAUCCCAGUACUAGGUUGCGCUGUGGGGAUUGUGGAGUAGCCCUCUACCACCUAGGGCCCUCAUGUGUUUCCUUUAUUUGAGACAGGGUCUCACUCUGUCACCCAGGGUGGAAGUGGCCCAGUCACAGCUUACUGCAGCAUCAGCCUCCCCAGGCUCAAGUGAUUAAGGCCUCCCUCUGCCUGCCCCACCCCCACUGUGUUUAUAUUGUUGGGAAACUUAAUCCACGGAAAUAAAGUGUGGAUUAUUUUUA